UACGAACUGUGCAAACGUUAUUCGGAAUCACUGGGCUUACAGGGUGCGUAGGCGGCCUGUCAAGUAGGGUGUGAAAGCCCCCGGCUCAACCGGGGAAUGGCGCCCUAAACUGGCGGGCUAGAGUGAGACAGGGGUGUGUGGAACUUCCGGUGGAGCGGUGAAAUGUGUUGAUAUCGGAAGGAACGCCGGUGGCGAAAGCGACACACUGGGUCUUGUCUGACGCUGAGGCACGAAAGCCAGGGGAGCGAACGGG
This 253-nucleotide ribosomal RNA is filed under the name uncultured Planctomyces sp. RNAcentral's name for it is "partial 16S ribosomal RNA". It matches the Rfam family "Bacterial small subunit ribosomal RNA", at positions 524 to 776 of the family's 1533-position model. The record is from RNAcentral. Lineage: Bacteria; Pseudomonadati; Planctomycetota; Planctomycetia; Planctomycetales; Planctomycetaceae.